GCGAAGGGCAGAAAUGUAAUGAUGUUUCUCUCUACAGUUCUGGUGUUCUGUAGAGAUAGGGAGCAAAUAAAGAAAGUGAACACACACUCAAAACCUGCAGAGGAUUUCAUCAAGAGACAUGAAGAUCUCAAGAUAUAUUAAGAGAUAGAGACUCUCAGAAAGGGUUUUUGGUAAACAACUCUUUUGUGUUUGUUGUUGUUAGGAUAAAAUGUUACUCUAAGCAUCUUUUUCUCCUAGUACUUCUCUUCCACCUCUUGAGCUUUACUAUUAAAAAAAAAAAAACUGGAUAAAAAACUUUUAAAAUAUUAAAUUGAAAAAAGAAAGGCAACAUAUAUUGACUUUGUAACUACUGGGGACCAUCAAAAUUGUACCUUUAUAGGUGCUUUCUAAUUUAAUGUAGCAUUAUCAUAACUGUAUGGUCAGUUUUAUUUUUUUCUAACUUUACAGGUAAAGGAACUAAAGUGAGUAACAUUUAAAUAGAUUUUCCUAUGUCAUAUGGGUAAUAACUGACAAAACAAAAUCUGAAUCCAGGGAAAAAUGACCUAAAAUCUAGGUUCUUUCUCUACACCAUCUUGUUUUAAAUAAGUAAGUGACUAUUUGUAAAUGUUUAAUUACUUUAAAUUUUGCUUCUGUUUUCUGAUUGUGAAUUCCUUAUCAAUAUAAUUUUUCUCAAACUUUUCCUAAUUAACAUAUUUAAUUAUGGAAGAUAAUGUGAAACCCAUACCAAUAAAAGGUUGGGAAACUUAUUAUAAAUUGUCUACAAACUUAAGCUAUCCUUUGGGACUCCUAUUAUAACUUCAUAACUCAUUUAAGAUUUGCAUUUUAUUAUGUAAUAUGUCUAUUUUAUAAUGAAAACCAUUUUAAAAUCCUAUUCUUAAAAACACAAAGCUUGGGCUGGGAAUGUGGCUCAAGUGGUAGCACGCUCACCUGGCAUGCCUGCGACCCGGGUAAAAAAUAAAUAUUAAAAUUCUCUCUCUCUCUCUCUCUCUCUCUUAAAAAAACCACAAAGCUAAAUAUUCUAACUUGUCAUAUUAAUAACUAGGCAUUAUAUUAUUGAAUUAAUUCUAAGGAGUUUGUAAAAUGGGUUAAAUAAAGACUCAUAUAUUCCUAUCUAUU
Molecule: long non-coding RNA, 1116 nt
Filed under: Ictidomys tridecemlineatus (thirteen-lined ground squirrel)
Lineage: Eukaryota; Metazoa; Chordata; Mammalia; Rodentia; Sciuridae
Description: lncRNA (ENSSTOG00000030380.1)
Source: RNAcentral